Zonotrichia albicollis (white-throated sparrow) is the source of this 2462-nucleotide non-coding RNA. NCBI's taxonomy places the organism in Eukaryota, Metazoa, Chordata, Aves, Passeriformes, Passerellidae. The record is from RefSeq and is a predicted model, not a curated record.
CGGACACGGAUGCCCCGGUCCCGUCCCCAUCCAGCCCUGCCCGACACCGACCCAGGGCCCGGAGCCGCUCGGGAUGGGAGCCAAGGGGCGGCUGAGGUGGGAAGGGACGGUGGGAUGGAGGCGUUUUCCAAACAUCCUCAGAUCUCAUAGAUGGAUCCAACCCAGAGGUCUCUGAAGAACAGGGGACUCAGGUUCUCACCCAGCGCUGACGAUGGCGGGCUCAGAGCUCUGGGCAGGUUCUAUGUGACCUCAGGAGGGGCUGCACAGGCAGGAAUGAACCCCCGUUCCCUGUGAGGAAUCCCCAGGGUCCCAGCAGGAUGCAUUAACAGCACGUCUCUCCAGUGAGCCGUGAUGGGAACAGCACGGAGCAAAAAAAAAGCAGCAGUUUUCCUUUUUGUUAACACGAACAGAGGAGCGGAGAAGCGAUCUCUCGAAGGAUCCUGGCUGGCAGCAGCAUCACCAUCUGACUGAAGAGAGAACUCAGCCACACGCAUAAUCCUGGGGAAAAUUCAUCUCCACCCUCCCGCAGACCCCGGUGAGAGCCCUUGAAGUGGUAAUUAAAGUCUAUUGAGUGGCAACUGCACCUGUUUAGAGAGGAGAGUGCGGGUAAGAGGUGCACAAAGGGAGAUGAGCAGCGCGCAGAGAGGAGCUGCUGGAGGUGGGGAGGAGGAGAAGUGGAAAGAAGGGGGAAAAAGGUGUUUGUUGAAGUCGAUCCAAUCAGUUGUGCAUUUCCAUCCUGCCCUAGAUUUGCUCCUGGGGUGGAAAUCUGCAGUUCUGUAGGGUCUGUGAGGGCUCACAGCAGCCCCUGGUUCCUCGGGCUGGCCCUGGGAUGUGCCAGCUCUUGUCCCUCUGGGUGUAAGAGGGGGAUCUAGGUGCAGGCUCCAGGGAAAUUCUCAUUCUGAGACCCAUGGCUUGAUGACAGAACUGCUGGCUCCUUCUGUCACAAUCCCAGUGUGACCUCGGGUGGCAGCAAGCAGGGUCCCAGGCUAUCUGGGAUGAUGAGGCUCUAAAAUUUAAGUCAAAGAGCCCUGCAAAAGCUUUUUGUUGUAGGAGUAAAUAAUCACCCCUACACUCUACACAGAGUGUAGAGAUGAAGCUCUAAAACUUAAAUCAAAGACCUCUACAAAAGCUUUUUAUUGUAGGAGUAAAUAAUCACCCCUACACUCUACACAGGCCCUACUGAUACCCUUGGCUCCCCUUACCCAUUCCCAAAUCCAUUGUUUAGGUGGCACUAGAGCAGUAAUGUGGGCUUUGUCCCUUGUCACUGCAAUUCCCUGUGUGCCCAGAAUGAGCUGGGCUGAACCAGGACUCCAGGAGGGGCCCGAGGUUCAUCCUGAGAGCGCCCCGAGGCUGAGCUGAGCAAACGAGUCAGGCAGAAGGAUUCCACCGGUGUUGGCAAAUUCUUCUCCCUCACUGGGCUCGAUGGCAGCCAGUCCCCUGUGAAUCCCUGACCUUCACACUCCACAGGCUGCCUGGGAUGGCUCACAGAAACCACAGGAGGUUUUCUCCUGUUCCUCAUUGUCAGAGCACACAGCAGCUCUGGUGUGAAUGUUGUUGCAUCUGCUUUGGACAAGCCCUGUCAGCAGCACCUCUGCAGCUUCCCAAAGCUGUGCCAGGAUGUGCUUCGGGGUGAGAAUGAGGAUAGGGAAGAACUUGCACUUCACAGAAUCCCAAAUGGUUUGGGCUGGAAGGAGCACAAAGCCCACCCAGCUUCCACUAUCCCAGGUCACUCCAAGCCCCAUCCAGUCCCAUUGACUGUUCCAGGUGGGGUUUGACAUUAGCUGGCUGUCUGAUCCAACCAUUGUGCUGCAGUUUGUGGAGACAGACAGACAUCCCUGGACAGCAGGAAAACCUGCCAGUCAAGUUCUGUCCCAGGGGGAGAGGAAUUGUUGUGCCAGCUGGGCAGGGAGGCUGCAUGACAACACUGAAAGCCCAAGUGCUGUAGAAUCCUCCCUGAAAUGCCCUCUGUGCCUCCUUAACUCCAGUCCUGUGCAUGAACCAGCUCACUGGGUGGAAGGGCACCAUGUGAUAACUCGCCUUGUUUCUGCCUUUUGACUCCCAAACACUCCUCUCUCAUUUUUCCCUUUUAGCCCUUCUGUCCCUCAGCCCUUUUCUCUCUCCACCUUCCCUCUGAUUGCUGAGCAGCUUUUUGACUUUUCCAUCAAUAAGUCUAAAGAGCAUUUGAACCGGUCUGGUCCCCCUUCUCUCCUCCCUCCAGUUCCAAAUCAGGCGAGCUCAUCGAUCAGAGGAGCUCAGGAAAUAUCUGCUGUUUUGUUGUCAGGCUGAUAAUAACAUUGCAGUUGUGAAUGGGCUGCUGCAGGCCUGAUCAUGGACACCUGCAGGGUUUGUUUAAUUGCAUUUAAUGACAAAUCCUAUACAGAGGAGCAUUGCCAGAGAGAUUUAUUAUCCGCCAAAGAGGCAAAGCACAACAGCUCAAAAUAUAAUUUGCACUGAGCAUUUUU